RNAcentral lists this long non-coding RNA (743 nucleotides) under Brassica rapa (field mustard). RNAcentral describes it as "long non-coding RNA (BRAP_LNC002168)". The record is from RNAcentral. Lineage: Eukaryota; Viridiplantae; Streptophyta; Magnoliopsida; Brassicales; Brassicaceae.
ACUAUUCCAAAAACAUAUUAUGAAACUUUUAUAUGAAAAAUCUAUAGUUAUCCAUACGUAAAAUAGAUGUGUGUUAGUUUAUUUGGAUCUCCAUUGGUGUAUCACUUGUUUACAUUUAUUUUAUUAGUUCUCAUUGUUAAAAACUAUUUUCCUAAGAAACUUAAUAAUGCAAUCUAGCUUUUAAAAAAAAUGUGACCUGAAAAAAAACUGUUUUUUUCUUUCAUCGAUUUUGGGAUGAGAGACCAAGAGUUUAGAGCCAUAAAAAUUAAACUAGCCUAACAAACAGUCAGUAGUCAUACUCAUAUAUACCAGAUUGAAUCCAUCUAUAUAAGUAUAGCAGUUUCUAUGUAUCAACUUUCACCAACUCGUUUCUUUCGCUAUUACUGUUAGUCACAUAUCGGAGAGUGACAAAGAGAAAGAUGCUGCUUAAACACAAGAGUAGACCGAUAAGAUUCCGCCCAGAAAAAUGAUUUGAGAUCCAAAAAAGAAAAGAAAAACGACGAAGGAAUUGAAGAAACCAUAACAACCCUACAAAACAUACAUAUUGGUAUUGUUCUUAGGUUUCGUACCAUUACACUAAAUGCAAAUAAUCUCAUUUUCUUUAACUAGUGUUAUACAUCACCAAAGCUAAACCGGCGUGUUAAACCAAAGGAAUUAGAAUCUGGUUUUUAGUGUACAAGAUUACAAGAUGAGUAGACGACACAAUUGUACAUCAGAUACAUCAUCAGACUAAUCACAUCCAG